GUCUACGGCCAUGCCACCCUGAACAAGCCCAAUCCCGUCUGAUCUCCGAAGCUAAGCAGGGUCGGGCCUGGUUAGUACUUGGAUGGGAGACCACCUAGGAAGACCAGGUGCUGUAGGUG
This 119-nucleotide ribosomal RNA is filed under the name Pteropus alecto (black flying fox). The record is from RNAcentral. RNAcentral also lists the same sequence under 1 other name. Lineage: Eukaryota; Metazoa; Chordata; Mammalia; Chiroptera; Pteropodidae.